UUUACCUUCCCACCAGCUUUGCACCAGAGUUCCCUUUUCCUCUGCAGCCUUCCUAACACUCGCUCUCUGCUGUCUUUUUGGUAAGAGCCACGUUGACAGGUGUGAGGUGCUAUCUCCCUGAGGUUUUGAUGUGCUUCCCUGCUGACUGAUGAGGAAACAGAGACACUGAGAAGCUUUAAGCUGUUUGCCCAAGGGCACCGCAGCCGGGAUCCAUGCCAGGCUUAAUGACGGCAGAGCCUGCUCUCACCUCUCUGAGGCUCAAUCUCUCCAUGGGAAACUGGAUGGAGAAUCAAAUUGUGGCCAUUGCCAUCGUCCUGAUCACUAAAGUGGCUACUAGAAAACUUGAAAUGAUGUCAGUGGCUCAGACUGGAUUUCGACCGAACUGCGCUGGUCCCUUACCUUCCUGCACGCACGUGCCUCCCCGCCCUCUAGGAGGAGCUGCGGUGAGGGUUGGCCUGUCCCUGGGCCCCGCCCGUCAGGCUUUGUCUUUCGGGUUCUCUUGACCUCAGGACAGCGGCUGGGUGUCCCUCGACCGGUCUGGGCCCGCUGUGCUCGGGCGCCCUCUAGCGGCUCCUCUCUCAGGCGGUUCUACUCUUCCGCGACAUCCCAUCCUCGUGAGGAGGACUGUAUUUGAAACAAUUUGUGGUCCCAAGCCAGUCGUUCCACUCAUCACCUGUUCCUGUUUUGAUUUCUAGUUAAUUCAAAGUCAAUUUACGGAGAAAAAAUUUUUUUAUUACUCAACGAAUUUAUUACAUUUAUAGUUGUACAAUGAUCAUCACAAUCCAAUUUUAUAGGAUCUCCAUCCCACACCCCCAGCGUGUCUCCCCGCCCCUUUGCAGAGAAAAUUUGAGACAUAUUCUGGUACCUAUUUAUUAUCUUCUUAGGUCUCAAUACAAUUAAAAUGAAUUUAUCUUGGAGUUCCCUAGUGGCUCAGCGAGUUAAG
Long non-coding RNA from Phacochoerus africanus (Common warthog), 943 nucleotides. RefSeq lists it as uncharacterized. The transcript has 3 exons. Lineage: Eukaryota; Metazoa; Chordata; Mammalia; Artiodactyla; Suidae. The record is from RefSeq and is a predicted model, not a curated record.